Molecule: non-coding RNA, 61 nt
Filed under: unclassified sequences
Description: RAGATH-18 RNA
Rfam family: RAGATH-18 RNA
About the family: Actinobacteria, Firmicutes, Fusobacteria, Thermotogae (1 example). Nearby to self-cleaving ribozyme genes
Source: Rfam by way of RNAcentral
UCCGUGGACAGCUAUACAAACUAGAGUAACUUCGGUGAAAUAGGGCUGGAAGAAACGGAAA